UGGUGGAGUGAUUUGUCUGGUUAACUCCGUUAACGAACGAGACCUUAGCCUGCUAAAUAGUUACGUGUAACUUCGGUUAUGCGGGCAACUUCUUAGAGGGACUUUGUGUGUCUAACGCAAGGAAGUUUGAGGCAAUAACA
Molecule: ribosomal RNA, 140 nt
Filed under: uncultured eukaryote
Lineage: Eukaryota
Description: partial 18S ribosomal RNA
Rfam family: Eukaryotic small subunit ribosomal RNA
Source: RNAcentral